Molecule: ribosomal RNA, 497 nt
Filed under: uncultured bacterium
Lineage: Bacteria
Description: partial 16S ribosomal RNA
Rfam family: Bacterial small subunit ribosomal RNA
Source: RNAcentral
GAUGAACGCUGGCGGCGUGCCUAAUACAUGCAAGUCGAGCGAACGGACGAGAAGCUUGCUUCUCUGAUGUUAGCGGCGGACGGGUGAGUAACACGUGGAUAACCUACCUAUAAGACUGGGAUAACUUCGGGAAACCGGAGCUAAUACCGGAUAAUAUUUUGAACCGCAUGGUUCAAAAGUGAAAGACGGUCUUGCUGUCACUUAUAGAUGGAUCCGCGCUGCAUUAGCUAGUUGGUAAGGUAACGGCUUACCAAGGCAACGAUGCAUAGCCGACCUGAGAGGGUGAUCGGCCACACUGGAACUGAGACACGGUCCAGACUCCUACGGGAGGCAGCAGUAGGGAAUCUUCCGCAAUGGGCGAAAGCAUGACGGAGCAACGCCGCGUGAGUGAUGAAGGUCUUCGGAUCGUAAAACUCUGUUAUUAGGGAAGAACAUAUGUGUAAGUAACUGUGCACAUCCUGACGGUACCUAAUCAGAAAGCCACGGCUAACUACGUG